CACCGCGGUUAUACGAGAGGCCCAAGUUGAUGAAAGACGGCGUAAAGAGUGGUUAGGGGCACACAACACUAAAGCCGAAGGCCUUCCGAGCUGUUAUACGCCUCUCCGAAGCCAUUAAGCCCACCUACGAAAGUGGCUUUACUUAACCUGACCCCACGAAAGCUGAGGAA
This 170-nucleotide ribosomal RNA is filed under the name Neolaeops microphthalmus. RNAcentral describes it as "partial 12S rRNA". The record is from RNAcentral. Lineage: Eukaryota; Metazoa; Chordata; Actinopteri; Pleuronectiformes; Bothidae.